RNAcentral lists this ribosomal RNA (302 nucleotides) under uncultured bacterium. Its description in RNAcentral is "bacterial SSU rRNA". It matches the Rfam family "Bacterial small subunit ribosomal RNA", at positions 32 to 314 of the family's 1533-position model. The record is from RNAcentral.
AAUCAACGCUGGCGGCGUGCCUCAGACAUGCAAGUCGAACGCGAAAGUCCCCUUCGGGGGAUGAUUAGAGUGGCGUCCGGGUGAGUAACACGUGGGUAAUCUACCUUCGGGUGGGGAAUAACAGUCGGAAACGACUGCUAAUACCGCAUAAUGCAGCGGCACCUAAUGGUGACAGUUGUUAAAGCGGGGGAUCGCAAGACCUCGCGCCUGAAGAGGAGCCCGCGGCGGAUUAGCUAGUUGGCAGGGUAACGCCUACCAAGGCGACGAUCCGUAGCCGGCCUGAGAGGGCGGUCGGCCACACU